CUACGGGCUGCUCCAGUCGAGAAUCAUUCGCAAUGCGCGAAAGCGUGACGAUGCGACGCUGCGUGGAGGAUGAAGGCCCUCGGGUCGUAAACUCCUGUCAGGAGGGAAAAGCCGGCACUUGGUCAAUACCCUUGUGCCCCGAUGGUACCUCCAGAGGAAGCCACGGCUAACUCUGUGCCAGCAGCCGCGGUAAUACAGAGGUGGCGAGCGUUGUUCGGAUUUACUGGGCGUAAAGGGUGCGUAGGCGGCGUUCAAAGCUGGAUGUGAAAUCCCGGGGCUCAACCCCGGAACUGCAUCCGGAACUGGCAUGCUAGAGACCAGGAGGGGAGAGCAGAAUUCUAGGUGUAGCGGUGAAAUGCGUUGAUAUCUAGAAGAAUACCGGCGGCGAAGGCGGCUCUCUGGAAUGGUUCUGACGCUGAGGCACGAAAGCGUGGGGAGCAAACAGGAUUAGAUACCCUAGUAGUC
RNAcentral lists this ribosomal RNA (465 nucleotides) under uncultured bacterium. RNAcentral's name for it is "partial 16S ribosomal RNA". It matches the Rfam family "Bacterial small subunit ribosomal RNA", at positions 339 to 795 of the family's 1533-position model. The record is from RNAcentral.